RNAcentral lists this ribosomal RNA (463 nucleotides) under uncultured bacterium. RNAcentral's name for it is "bacterial SSU rRNA". It matches the Rfam family "Bacterial small subunit ribosomal RNA", at positions 29 to 481 of the family's 1533-position model. The record is from RNAcentral.
AACGAACGCUGGCGGCACGCUUAACACAUGCAAGUCAAGGGGAAAUGGCUUCGGCCUGAGUACACUGGCGCACGGGUGAGUAACGCGUGAGGAAUCUGCCCAUAAGACUGGGAUAACAUGCCGAAGGGUGUGCUAAUACUGGAUGUGUUUUACUGACGCAUGUUAAUAAAACAAGGGUGGGGCGACCUGCCGCUUAUGGAUGACCUCGCGUCCGAUUAGCUAGUUGGGGGGGUAAUGGCUCACCAAGGCUACGAUCGGUAGCCGGCCUGAGAGGGUGGCCGGCCACACUGGAACUGAGACACGGUCCACACUCCUACGGGAGGCAGCAGUGGGGAAUCUUGCGCAGUGGGGGCAACCCUGACGCAGCGAUGCCGCGUGGACGAAGAAGGCCUUCGGGUCGUAAAGUCCUUUCGCUGGGGAAGAAAGCUAUUCGUAGUAACUGACGGGUAGUUGACGGUACCCA